Molecule: transfer RNA, 70 nt
Filed under: Anolis gingivinus
Lineage: Eukaryota; Metazoa; Chordata; Lepidosauria; Squamata; Anolidae
Description: tRNA-Trp
Rfam family: tRNA
About the family: Transfer RNA (tRNA) molecules are approximately 80 nucleotides in length.
Source: RNAcentral
AAAAACUUAGGAUUAACCAAACCAAGAACCUUCAAAGUUCAAAAUGUGGGUGAAACCCCCAUAGUUUUUG